Molecule: transfer RNA, 72 nt
Filed under: Mesomycoplasma flocculare ATCC 27399
Lineage: Bacteria; Bacillati; Mycoplasmatota; Mycoplasmoidales; Metamycoplasmataceae
Also listed under: 1 other name
Rfam family: tRNA
About the family: Transfer RNA (tRNA) molecules are approximately 80 nucleotides in length. Their secondary structure includes four short double-helical elements and three loops (D, anti-codon, and T loops). Further hydrogen bonds mediate the characteristic L-shaped molecular structure. tRNAs have two regions of fundamental functional importance: the anti-codon, which is responsible for specific mRNA codon recognition, and the 3' end, to which the tRNAs corresponding amino acid is attached (by aminoacyl-tRNA synthetases). tRNAs cope with the degeneracy of the genetic code in two manners: having more than one tRNA (with a specific anti-codon) for a particular amino acid; and 'wobble' base-pairing, i.e. permitting non-standard base-pairing at the 3rd anti-codon position.
Source: Rfam by way of RNAcentral
GCCGAUUUAGCUCAGCGGUAGAGCAGCUGGCUGUUAACCAGUUGGUCGCAGGUUCGAGUCCCGCAAUCGGCG